GAUAUUUGCUCGAUAUUUGCCGGUUUUUUUUCGAUAUCGAUACCGAUAUCGAUAUUUUCCCAACUUGAAAUCAUUAACAACGGCCACAACGCUAACAAUAUAAACAUUGAAUAAUAUAUGUCAGUGAUUGCAACCAACAUAACCAGAAACUCCCAUCCUUCCCGUGGACCAUUAUAGCACCAUAGAAAAUGAACUAUUUACGCCUAUUUAGGCUUUUUGGUAUCAUUUUCAUGAUGAUGCCGCUGACCAAGAUGAAAAAAUAUCGCGGGCGCAGAAAUAUCGAAACAUCGAUAUUUCUUGCCAGUAUCGAUACUUUUCUUCAAAACCCUGGUAUCGAUAGUAUCGAGUAUUUGGUAUCGAUAUCGGCCCAUCCCUAAUAUUCGGAGCAGAAAUACAAAAUUCGGCACUAAAUGUCGAAUUUGAAAGAUAGAAGCUUGAAAAUAACACUAUACGUGUUAUUUUUAACUUCUUAAUCCACCAAGACGAUCAGAAUGAGCAUUAAGUAUAUAUAUAUUAAGUAUAAGUAUAUAUCAGAACCUGUAAAUAUUAGAUAUCUUUUAGAAAUACAAGACAGAAAUAUUUUUAAGGCUUCUGUAAAUCAGAAGAGUGUCAUAGUCGACUUGAUACCAAGAAAAAAAUCCACAAGCUACUCUUUGAGGACAGAGUUUAGUCAGUAUCCAAGAGUGAACACGGAAC
Paramuricea clavata is the source of this 696-nucleotide non-coding RNA. NCBI's taxonomy places the organism in Eukaryota, Metazoa, Cnidaria, Anthozoa, Malacalcyonacea, Plexauridae. The record is from the annotation of a GenBank genome assembly.